RNAcentral lists this ribosomal RNA (446 nucleotides) under uncultured bacterium. Its description in RNAcentral is "bacterial SSU rRNA". It matches the Rfam family "Bacterial small subunit ribosomal RNA", at positions 331 to 793 of the family's 1533-position model. The record is from RNAcentral.
CCAGACUCCUACGGGAGGCAGCAGUGGGGAAUAUUGCACAAUGGGGGAAACCCUGAUGCAGCAACGCCGCGUGAAGGAAGACGGUUUUCGGAUUGUAAACUUCUGUUCUUAGUGAAGAAGAAUGACGGUAGCUAAGGAGCAAGCCACGGCUAACUACGUGCCAGCAGCCGCGGUAAUACGUAGGGAGCAAGCGUUAUCCGGAUUUAUUGGGUGUAAAGGGUGCGUAGACGGGAAAUUAAGUUAGUUGUGAAAUCCCUCGGCUCAACUGAGGAACUGCAACUAAAACUGAUUUUCUUGAGUGCAGGAGAGGUAAGUGGAAUUCCUAGUGUAGCGGUGAAAUGCGUAGAUAUUAGGAGGAACACCAGUGGCGAAGGCGACUUACUGGACUGUAACUGACGUUGAGGCACGAAAGUGUGGGGAGCAAACAGGAUUAGAUACCCUCGUAA